GACGAACGCUGGCGGCGUGCUUAACACAUGCAAGUCGAACGGAAAGGCCCUGCUUUUGUGGGGUGCUCGAGUGGCGAACGGGUGAGUAACACGUGAGUAACCUGCCCUUGACUUUGGGAUAACUUCAGGAAACUGGGGCUAAUACCGGAUAGGAGCUCCUGCUGCAUGGUGGGGGUUGGAAAGUUUCGGCGGUUGGGGAUGGACUCGCGGCUUAUCAGCUUGUUGGUGGGGUAGUGGCUUACCAAGGCUUUGACGGGUAGCCGGCCUGAGAGGGUGACCGGCCACAUUGGGACUGAGAUACGGCCCAGACUCCUACGGGAGGCAGCAGUGGGGAAUAUUGCACAAUGGGCGGAAGCCUGAUGCAGCAACGCCGCGUGCGGGAUGACGGCCUUCGGGUUGUAAACCGCUUUCGCCUGUGACGAAGCGUGAGUGACGGUAAUGGGUAAAGAAGCACCGGCUAACUACGUGCCAGCAGCCGCGGUGAUACGUAGGGUGCGAGCGUUGUCCGGAUUUAUUGGGCGUAAAGGGCUCGUAGGUGGUUGAUCGCGUCGGAAGUGUAAUCUUGGGGCUUAACCCUGAGCGUGCUUUCGAUACGGGUUGACUUGAGGAAGGUAGGGGAGAAUGGAAUUCCUGGUGGAGCGGUGGAAUGCGCAGAUAUCAGGAGGAACACCAGUGGCGAAGGCGGUUCUCUGGGCCUUUCCUGACGCUGAGGAGCGAAAGCGUGGGGAGCGAACAGGCUUAGAUACCCUGGUAGUCCACGCUGUAAACGGUGGGUACUAGGUGUGGGGUCCAUUCCACGGGUUCCGUGCCGUAGCUAACGCUUUAAGUACCCCGCCUGGGGAGUACGGCCGCAAGGCUAAAACUCAAAGGAAUUGACGGGGCCCCGCACAAGCGGCGGAGCAUGCGGAUUAAUUCGAUGCAACGCGUAGAACCUUACCUGGGUUUGACAUGGAUCGGGAGCGCUCAGAGAUGGGUGUGCCUCUUUUGGGGUCGGUUCACAGGUGGUGCAUGGCUGUCGUCAGCUCGUGUCGUGAGAUGUUGGGUUAAGUCCCGCAACGAGCGCAACCCUUGUUCACUGUUGCCAGCACGUUAUGGUGGGGACUCAGUGGAGACCGCCGGGGUCAACUCGGAGGAAGGUGGGGAUGACGUCAAGUCAUCAUGCCCCUUAUGUCCAGGGCUUCACGCAUGCUACAAUGGCUGGUACAGAGGGUGGCGAGCCUGUGAGGGUGAGCGAAUCUCGGAAAGCCGGUCUCAGUUCGGAUUGGGGUCUGCAACUCGACCUCAUGAAGUCGGAGUCGCUAGUAAUCGCAGAUCAGCAACGCUGCGGUGAAUACGUUCCCGGG
RNAcentral lists this ribosomal RNA (1343 nucleotides) under uncultured bacterium. RNAcentral's name for it is "16S ribosomal RNA". It matches the Rfam family "Bacterial small subunit ribosomal RNA", at positions 28 to 1378 of the family's 1533-position model. The record is from RNAcentral.